This is a non-coding RNA of Schistosoma haematobium, 45 nucleotides long. The record is from Rfam. NCBI's taxonomy places the organism in Eukaryota, Metazoa, Platyhelminthes, Trematoda, Strigeidida, Schistosomatidae.
UUCCAGCUGACAUGUCUUAAAUAGGACGAAACGCGCGUCCUGGAU